ACGAACGCUGGCGGCGUGCUUAACACAUGCAAGUCGCACGGAAAGGCCCUGCUUUUGUGGGGUGCUCGAGUGGCGAACGGGUGAGUAACACGUGAGUAACCUGCCCUUGACUUUGGGAUAACUUCAGGAAACUGGGGCUAAUACCGGAUAGGAGCUCCUGCUGCAUGGUGGGGGUUGGAAAGUUUCGGCGGUUGGGGAUGGACUCGCGGCUUAUCAGCUUGUUGGUGGGGUAGUGGCUUACCAAGGCUUUGACGGGUAGCCGGCCUGAGAGGGUGACCGGCCACAUUGGGACUGAGAUACGGCCCAGACUCCUACGGGAGGCAGCAGUGGGGAAUAUUGCACAAUGGGCGGAAGCCUGAUGCAGCAACGCCGCGUGCGGGAUGACGGCCUUCGGGUUAUAAACCGCUUUCGCCUGUGACGAAGCGUGAGUGACGGUAAUGGGUAAAGAAGCACCGGCUAACUACGUG
RNAcentral lists this ribosomal RNA (467 nucleotides) under uncultured bacterium. Its description in RNAcentral is "partial 16S ribosomal RNA". It matches the Rfam family "Bacterial small subunit ribosomal RNA", at positions 29 to 507 of the family's 1533-position model. The record is from RNAcentral.